RNAcentral lists this ribosomal RNA (690 nucleotides) under uncultured Bacteroidales bacterium. RNAcentral describes it as "bacterial SSU rRNA". It matches the Rfam family "Bacterial small subunit ribosomal RNA", at positions 56 to 733 of the family's 1533-position model. Lineage: Bacteria; Pseudomonadati; Bacteroidota; Bacteroidia; Bacteroidales. The record is from RNAcentral.
UGCAAGUCGAGGGGCAGCAUGGUCUUAGCUUGCUAAGGCUGAUGGCGACCGGCGCACGGGUGAGUAACACGUAUCCAACCUGCCGUCUACUCUUGGCCAGCCUUCUGAAAGGAAGAUUAAUCCAGGAUGGGAUCAUGAGUUCACAUGUCCGCAUGAUUAAAGGUAUUUUCCGGUAGACGAUGGGGAUGCGUUCCAUUAGAUAGUAGGCGGGGUAACGGCCCACCUAGUCAACGAUGGAUAGGGGUUCUGAGAGGAAGGUCCCCCACAUUGGAACUGAGACACGGUCCAAACUCCUACGGGAGGCAGCAGUGAGGAAUAUUGGUCAAUGGGCGAUGGCCUGAACCAGCCAAGUAGCGUGAAGGAUGACUGCCCUAUGGGUUGUAAACUUCUUUUAUAAAGGAAUAAAGUCGGGUAUGCAUACCCGUUUGCAUGUACUUUAUGAAUAAGGAUCGGCUAACUCCGUGCCAGCAGCCGCGGUAAUACGGAGGAUCCGAGCGUUAUCCGGAUUUAUUGGGUUUAAAGGGAGCGUAGAUGGAUGUUUAAGUCAGUUGUGAAAGUUUGCGGCUCAACCGUAAAAUUGCAGUUGAUACUGGAUGUCUUGAGUGCAGUUGAGGCAGGCGGAAUUCGUGGUGUAGCGGUGAAAUGCUUAGAUAUCACGAAGAACUCCGAUUGCGAAGGCAGCCUGCUAAG